RNAcentral lists this long non-coding RNA (478 nucleotides) under Anser cygnoides (Swan goose). Its description in RNAcentral is "lncRNA (ENSACDG00005008918.1)". The record is from RNAcentral. Lineage: Eukaryota; Metazoa; Chordata; Aves; Anseriformes; Anatidae.
GGGAAUGUCUUUACCUUUCCCAGGGCUUAGCAUUGAGCCUUCCAGGAGGUUGCUUCUCUGUAGACUGUAAAGAACUUCACAAGAAAGGGCUGUAGCCUGUGGACUCAAAGCAACUGAAGUAUCUAAGCUAAUUUACACAAGUCUCCAAGAAUGGAAAACAGGCCUCUGGCAUGGACUGUAACCUGCUUCUAAACAUACUUUCUUCUUCUGCUACCUACUGAGGUAGCAGUUGCGGUGGAGUUCAGCUGCCCAGCAAGGUAAAACCACCACAGGGAGAUAAGCAAAGGAAUGAAUAUGAAGGAGCUGAAGCAAAGGAGCUGAAAAGAUUGGCUUCCAAAAAAGCUGUUGAGGUCAGCAGUCAGUGCUCUUUGAGAACUUCACCCAGGUGCUAAGCAACCAGGACUGGUGAACCACAGAUCUUUGCACAUUCCUUUGCACUCCUGUAAAGAAGGUAUGACCAGGAUAUUAAACAGACCUU